UAUAAUGCAGUCGAGCGAACUGAUUAGAAGCUUGCUUCUAUGACGUUAGCGGCGGACGGGUGAGUAACACGUGGGCAACCUGCCUGUAAGACUGGGAUAACUUCGGGAAACCGAAGCUAAUACCGGAUAGGAUCUUCUCCUUCAUGGGAGAUGAUUGAAAGAUGGUUUCGGCUAUCACUUACAGAUGGGCCCGCGGUGCAUUAGCUAGUUGGUGAGGUAACGGCUCACCAAGGCAACGAUGCAUAGCCGACCUGAGAGGGUGAUCGGCCACACUGGGACUGAGACACGGCCCAGACUCCUACGGGAGGCAGCAGUAGGGAAUCUUCCGCAAUGGACGAAAGUCUGACGGAGCAACGCCGCGUGAGUGAUGAAGGCUUUCGGGUCGUAAAACUCUGUUGUUAGGGAAGAACAAGUACGAGAGUAACUGCUCGUACCUUGACGGUACCUAACCAGAAAGCCACGGCUAACUACGUGCCAGCAGCCGCGGUAAUACGUAGGUGGCAAGCGUUAUCCGGAAUUAUUGGGCGUAAAGCGCGCGCAGGCGGUUUCUUAAGUCUGAUGUGAAAGCCCACGGCUCAACCGUGGAGGGUCAUUGGAAACUGGGGAACUUGAGUGCAGAAGAGAAAAGCGGAAUUCCACGUGUAGCGGUGAAAUGCGUAGAGAUGUGGAGGAACACCAGUGGCGAAGGCGGCUUUUUGGUCUGUAACUGACGCUGAGGCGCGAAAGCGUGGGGAGCAAACAGG
This 743-nucleotide ribosomal RNA is filed under the name uncultured Bacillus sp. RNAcentral's name for it is "bacterial SSU rRNA". It matches the Rfam family "Bacterial small subunit ribosomal RNA", at positions 50 to 776 of the family's 1533-position model. The record is from RNAcentral. Lineage: Bacteria; Bacillati; Bacillota; Bacilli; Caryophanales; Bacillaceae.